RNAcentral lists this transfer RNA (69 nucleotides) under Entemnotrochus adansonianus. RNAcentral describes it as "tRNA-Arg". Lineage: Eukaryota; Metazoa; Mollusca; Gastropoda; Pleurotomariida; Pleurotomariidae. The record is from RNAcentral.
AAGCAAGAAGCGAAUAUUUUGCAUACGGUUUCGGCCCGUAAAAUGGCAGUGCGAUUCUGUCCUUGUUUG